Molecule: ribosomal RNA, 446 nt
Filed under: uncultured bacterium
Lineage: Bacteria
Description: partial 16S ribosomal RNA
Rfam family: Bacterial small subunit ribosomal RNA
Source: RNAcentral
CCUACGGGUGGCAGCAGUCGAGAAUCAUUCACAAUGGGGGAAACCCUGAUGGUGCGACGCCGCGUGGGGGAAUGAAGGUCUUCGGAUUGUAAACCCCUGUCAUGUGGGAGCCAAUUAAAAAGAUAGUACCACAAGAGGAAGAGACGGCUAACUCGGUGCCAGCAGCCGCGGUAAUACAGAGGUCUCAAGCGUUGUUCGGAAUCACUGGGCGUAAAGCGUGCGUAGGCUGUUUCGUAAGCCGUGUGUGAAAGGCGCGGGCGCAACCCGCGGACGGCACAUGAUACUGCGAGACUAGAGUAAUGGAGGGGGAACCGGAAUUCUCGGUGUAGCAGUGAAAUGCGUAGAUAUCGAGAGGAACACUCGUGGCGAAGGCGGGUUCCUGGACAUUAACUGACGCUGAGGCACGAAGGCCAGGGGAGCGAAAGGGAUUAGAUACCCCUGUAGUC